This 1806-nucleotide long non-coding RNA is filed under the name Heterocephalus glaber (naked mole-rat). Its description in RNAcentral is "lncRNA (ENSHGLG00000040765.1)". Lineage: Eukaryota; Metazoa; Chordata; Mammalia; Rodentia; Bathyergidae. The record is from RNAcentral.
CUUUGUAAUGAUGGAAAAUGAAAGGGAUGACUAAAGUUUCCGUUCUUAGCAGAACACGGGGUGGGGUGGGGGAGCCGGCUGAGUUCCAGCUUUUGUGAGUUAAAAUGACGCUAUCAGCUCGUUUCUCCAUAAAACGAACUGGAAAAGAGAUACUCUGUGAGAUCAUCACCAUCAAACACUUCAAAGACUUUUCAUGGGGACCCACGCUAGUCCAUAGUACAAGCAAAUCUGUUCUCUCUGGAAGCUCGCAGCUUAAGACACGACGUGAUGUCCACUUCCGGCUCAAACUGAGUUCGGACUGCGCACGAAUCUGUUCGUAGAGGUUGGCUGGCUCUGAGGCUGGGAUGGCAAACACGCAUCGCGGAGGAAAAACAACAUUACAGUCACAAGGCACCAAAGAUUUGUAAGAUUCCAAGGCCUUCAAGCCAAGAUCAGCCUGAUGGUUCCUGAAAUAACUGGGAAAACAAAUGCUUCAAGUGCCAGUUGAAGAUUGUGUCUAUGUAUAUUCGAAACCUUCUUUCUAUAUAUACGCAUUUACAUGAGAAGACAGGCUCAUUCUUGUGCACAUUUGGGAGUUUUUCAACUGAUGAAAAUUAAUUUAAGAAUCAGAUGGAGCAACUUGACACUUCUGGGCGCAGGAGCCCAGGGAGAAAAGUAUAUCACUAAUGGCCAAUUUUCCAUAUGGCCUUCAUGGGUAAAGAGAAUUUGCAAAAAGAAGAAAAAAAUUUGCAUAGAUUAAGCCUCAAAAAUACCUCUCCAGUUUAAAGAAGGAAAUAAAUGAGAAGGUGAUCACAGAAGUGUGAAUUCAACAUUGCAGGUGGGAUCAUGCAGUGUUUUUUCACUUUAUUUUUUAUUAGGUUUAAUGAUUUGGACAGAGUUUAAAAUUCUGGACUGAAAAGUAACUUACUGUGGUUGUUACUGAAGGAAAGCAAGUUCAGGUGUGAUGGGACAAGUCUGAACAUUGAACUGAUUCCAUCACUUUGCCUUUUUCAGUUAACUGUAUUUGAGGAUUUUAAUUUAUUAUUUUCCUUUUCUGCACCUGUAGGAUAAUAUCUUAAAAUAGCAAUUGGAACCAAUAAUUACAAAAGUAAACAUCAAGGAAAACCCAAGCAAAGCUUCCUUUUGCCUGGAUGAAAGGCUGUGGAAACAAGCUCUGAAUGGGAACAAGAAGGUGCCCAUUGGCACAGUGACUCUAGGGAAAUGGUGCAAUCCUGGGGACUCUGAUACUAGCUUGGGUGUAUGGUUAGAGGGAUUGUCAGCUGUGUUGAGUCUAAGAACACUUGCAUAUGAGAAGAUUUGGACUUAAUGCUGAGAUUAUUUUUUUCAUUGAAAUGAAAAAGCACAUGAGCUUUAGGAAUAGAAAAGAGGAGAAGUAACUGGAAAGUGAGAAAGAGUCCAGCAAAAGAAACAAGAGUGUUACUCUGUUAGUCAGCAGAAUUAGGAUUACCUUAAGGCAAAUACUUGGUCUGCUUUAAUAGCUUUUUUCUCUGCCUCUGCUGACCUUGCUUUUUAGCCCCUAUGGCACUGAGGGGUCUGCUGGCUGGCAGAGGAAUUGUCCCAGGGAACCCUGCGUUCCUCGGGGACACAGGGCCCAGCAUUAAGAUAGGAAAUUUCUGGUUCUGAACAGUGAGGAAGAGUGUUUUUCUUCCUAAAAUUGGACUGCUGUCUGCACAAACUCUGAUCUGUUUUGCACAGUUUGUGUGCCUUUUUUUUCCCUUUAUGCAAUCUUUUUCAGCUUUUGCAGCAGAAAUUUGUCUAGUUCAGAAAACAUGCCAGAGGGUGGCUUUAGAAGAUGAUCCUGUAUGU